UGUCCGCGUGUGGCCGCGGGGCGGGCAGCAGCCUCUGGCGGGCUCUCAACCUUCUCCAGCUGCUGAAAAGCAGGUGUGCGGAGCCCGAGUGCUGGGCGCCCUCCGCUACACUCGGCGCGGGGAUGCCGGACACUAGGCGUUGCCGUCGGCCGGCGGGUUUGCACUUGGACCUCUGCGACCGCUCGGCUGCGAAGCCAGCCCUUGCCGGCCCAAGUGACUUUUGAUAGAUGAUGUGCCAGGAAUCGAACCCCAGGCAAAUCGUAACCUCUGCCAUGUCUGAACCACCUUCUGGGAUGAAGGAAUUACUAAGCGUCAAAUUUUAGGAGAUGCAGUGUUAGUGCAAGAGAAGUCAUUUGAAAUGAACGUCUAGAAGCCACCUACCAGAGUUGUAAAACUGCCUGGUUCUAUAUCUUAGUUGUGUUAAAAGAGUAAACAUUGGUACAAAUCACAAUAAUAAA
Molecule: long non-coding RNA, 458 nt
Organism: Erinaceus europaeus (western European hedgehog)
Lineage: Eukaryota; Metazoa; Chordata; Mammalia; Eulipotyphla; Erinaceidae
Exons: 3
Source: RefSeq, a predicted model, not a curated record